AACAGGGAUUCCCCCAGUAACAGCGAGCGAAGCGGGAGUAGCUCGAGCAGCCAAUCUCUGGCGCGUCAGUCGCCAGCGAAUUGUGGCCGGGAGAGGCGGCUGCACCCGAGGUGUUCCGGCCGAAGUCGACCUGGAAAGGCGCGUCGGAGAGGGUGAUAACCCCGUGCUCGGUCGGAUCGUCGAGGGCCGCUGCCGUCUUCCGAGAGUCGGGUUGUUUGGGAUUGCAGCCCAAAGUGGGUGGUAAACUCCAUCUAAAGCCGAAUACAGGCACGAGACCGAUAGCGAACAAGUACCGUGAGGGAAAGGUGAAAAGCACUUUGGAAGGAGAGUUAAAGAGCCCGCGAAACCGUUAGGAGGGAAACGCAUGCAGCCGGACGGGCCCUCGUCGGGUUCAAGGGGUUGCGUGGCGCGGCCGAGGUGGGAAGCACCUUCGGGGCUUUUCCGCAGCGGUAGAGCGUUUGCGCCCCCUGCACUCUCGGCGGUGUGGGCCGACCAAGGGCGGCGGUGUAUCGGGCUAAGCGGACUGCCGGGCGAGGUACCGYCGCAGGCCUUCGGGUCGUCGGCGAACUUACAGCCGGUGGUCGUUGAAGCUCGGAGACCGCCGAGGACAGGGCGACUAUCCGUCCCCUCUGCGCAGGUCCUUCUGGGCCGGAGCCCUUCUGAGCGUUCAGUCGUCGCGCCGUGGGACUGUUCGCAGUGCCCGGUGGCGGCGUGCGGGAUCGCUCGGGAGGUGACCUGACGCCUUGCGCUGGAGUCCGUUGGUCAGUCGUCGGCUUCAUUCGA
Molecule: ribosomal RNA, 783 nt
Filed under: Thrombus abyssi
Lineage: Eukaryota; Metazoa; Porifera; Demospongiae; Tetractinellida; Thrombidae
Description: eukaryotic LSU rRNA
Rfam family: Eukaryotic large subunit ribosomal RNA
Source: RNAcentral